RNAcentral lists this ribosomal RNA (468 nucleotides) under uncultured bacterium. RNAcentral's name for it is "partial 16S ribosomal RNA". It matches the Rfam family "Bacterial small subunit ribosomal RNA", at positions 28 to 507 of the family's 1533-position model. The record is from RNAcentral.
GACGAACGCUGGCGGCGUGCUUAACACAUGCAAGUCGAACGGAAAGGCCCUGCUUUUGUGGGGUGCUCGAGUGGCGAACGGGUGAGUAACACGUGAGUAACCUGCCCUUGACUUUGGGAUAACUUCAGGAAACUGGGGCUCAUACCGGAUAGGAGCUCCUGCUGCAUGGUGGGGGUUGGAAAGUUUCGGCGGUUGGGGAUGGACUCGCGGCUUAUCAGCUUGUUGGUGGGGUAGUGGCUUACCAAGGCUUUGACGGGUAGCCGGCCUGAGAGGGUGACCGGCCACAUUGGGACUGAGAUACGGCCCAGACUCCUACGGGAGGCAGCAGUGGGGAAUAUUGCACAAUGGGCGGAAGCCUGAUGCAGCAACGCCGCGUGCGGGAUGACGGCCUUCGGGUUGUAAACCGCUUUCGCCUGUGACGAAGCGUGAGUGACGGUAAUGGGUAAAGAAGCACCGGCUAACUACGUG